This 393-nucleotide ribosomal RNA is filed under the name uncultured bacterium. RNAcentral describes it as "partial 16S ribosomal RNA". It matches the Rfam family "Bacterial small subunit ribosomal RNA", at positions 523 to 918 of the family's 1533-position model. The record is from RNAcentral.
AUACGGAGGAUGCAAGCGUUAUCCGGAUUUAUUGGGUUUAAAGGGUGCGUAGGCGGUUUGCUAAGCGGGAGGUGAAAUGCCGGCGCUCAACGUCGGAAGUGCCUCCCAAACUGGUGGACUGGAAUGACUCUGCCGUGGGAGGAAUGUGUAGUGUAGCGGUGAAAUGCUUAGAGAUUACACAGAACACCGAUUGCGAAGGCAUCUCACGAAGGGUUGAUUGACGCUGAGGCACGAAAGCGUGGGGAUCAAACAGGAUUAGAUACCCUGGUAGUCCACGCAGUAAACGAUGAUGGCUAACCGCUGGUUUUUUCGGAUCAGUGGCCAAGCGAAAGCGAUAAGCCAUCCACCUGGGGAGUACGACCGCAAGGUUGAAACUCAAAGGAAUUGACGGGG